Molecule: ribosomal RNA, 82 nt
Filed under: Paragonimus westermani
Lineage: Eukaryota; Metazoa; Platyhelminthes; Trematoda; Plagiorchiida; Troglotrematidae
Description: partial 28S ribosomal RNA
Source: RNAcentral
GACCUCGGAUCAGACGUGAGUACCCGCUGAACUUAAGCAUAUCACUAAGCGGAGGGAAAAGAAACUAACCCCGGAUCCCAAA